AUUGAACGCUGGCGGCAGGCCUAACACAUGCAAGUCGAGCGGAUGAAGGGAGCUUGCUCCUGGAUUCAGCGGCGGACGGGUGAGUAGUGCCUAGGAAUCUGCCUGGUAGUGGGGGAUAACGUCCGGAAACGGGCGCUAAUACCGCAUACGUCCUGAGGGAGAAAGUGGGGGAUCUUCGGACCUCACGCUAUCAGAUGAGCCUAGGUCGGAUUAGCUAGUUGGUGGGGUAAAGGCCUACCAAGGCGACGAUCCGUAACUGGUCUGAGAGGAUGAUCAGUCACAUGGGAGGUGGGACAGCGACAAGACUCCUACGAGACGGACCAGUCGCCAAUAUUAGGCAGCAGUGGGAAAUAUGGUCCAACCGUGCCGAGUCUGUUACAGAGAUCUUCGGAUUGUAAAGAACUCUUUGUUGGGAGAAAGCGCAGUAAGUUGAUACGUUGCUGUUUUGACGUUAACGGGAAAAUAAGCACCGGCUAACUUCGUG
Molecule: ribosomal RNA, 484 nt
Filed under: uncultured bacterium
Lineage: Bacteria
Description: partial 16S ribosomal RNA
Rfam family: Bacterial small subunit ribosomal RNA
Source: RNAcentral